Long non-coding RNA from Arachis stenosperma, 929 nucleotides. RefSeq lists it as uncharacterized. NCBI's taxonomy places the organism in Eukaryota, Viridiplantae, Streptophyta, Magnoliopsida, Fabales, Fabaceae. The transcript is spliced from 2 exons. The record is from RefSeq and is a predicted model, not a curated record.
ACUUUGCUUGUGACGACUUGACCAUGAAAUUAAGUUGGUACAUGCAACCCACUACAGAUUGAUCUAUCGAGUGUAUGUAGGGUUAUCAAAAAUUGUCAUUGGUGUACUUAGUCUAAAUGAGUAGGACGCAUGUGGCUGCUAAUAAUAUGCAAAAUAAGAUUACAAGACAUAUCUACUUGAAUACCCUUCAACCUUGUAAGACUAUAAAUACAUGAUGAUGAUGAUAUCGCCAUGCAUAAGGAAAAUUGUAGUCUCAUAUCACUCACAAAAAAAGAUUUCCUAAUAAUCAUAUCAUAUCAUAAGAUGAAGUCAAUUUUGUUUGCAAUAAUAUUCUUGAUUUUGGUUUCGGUAAUGUUCCUUCCCCCCUCAACACUUGCAGCUCCAGUAGUAGGAAAGCGUGGUGAUAAGAAAGAAGCAUAUAGAAGAGGAGGAAGAAGAGCUCCUAAUUCUUAUAUCGAAAAUAAUCCAUAUGAAGGAGGAAGAGUUGGAGGAGUACAUGCACCUCCUAAUCCUGUUCCCUUUGUUCCUAGACGUCCAUACAGAGGACGAGGAGGAGGACCACCACAUCCACAUCCUAAGCCUCAUGUCUUAUAGAGCUGUUUUCUUAGCUUAAUGUAGUGCUUUAUUCCUAUUCCUCCCUAUUCUUAUAGAGGAACAGCUCCGAAUCCACAUAGAAGAUGUAUUAAUAAUCCAUACAAGUGUUUUUGCUCUCCACCACCUAAUAAUUAAGCAUUUAACAAUUCAUUAAUUAAUUGAGGUCAAAGAAGAAGCAAUAAUAAUAACUCAUAUAUAAAGUGUUUCGUUUUAAUUUGUGUGCCUUAGCUUGUAUCCAAAUGCAUAAACUUGUAAUAUAUUAACUAGCGUGUUAGAUUUGCGCAUCUUGUAAACUUAAUAGUGCCUGUGAAAUAAAACCACAUAUUGGCCUUCAA